GAAGCAGAAGGCAGAAGUAGGAGAAGCCGGCAGAAGGAGCAGGAGGGAGAAGCAUUGUUGAAAGGUUCCUGAAAUAAACUGCAAAAGGAAGAGCUCGUGUCAUCACGUCUUUCUUGCCGGAUGAGGCGGACGUAACACUCAUUUCCUAAGAAGGUAACAUGAAGAUUCUCUGCAUCCUAAGCUGGUCUUACACAGGCAGGAAGCUGCUACUGCCCCUCACAAUUGCCUUCAAACUGGAACAGAUCAACUAGUAUAUGCUAUAUAACCUGACUUGGAAAGUCAUCAGUGCUGAAGGAGACAUCAUCAACAGUGCCUGAAAGGUGGUACCAUUGGACUCUUGGUUCCCUGACUUACGAUUUAGUGGGGUACAUCUCUGACUGUAUAAAGUGGGGUCACCACACUGAAUUCAAUAUAUUUUAUGUGUGCCCUGAAGAAAAUAGCAGUAAGAGAAAAUGUGGAGGCCCUGGUGAAGCAUAUUGUGCUGGCUAGCACUGUGUAUCCACAGGCCACAUCUGGUGGUCCCCGCCUAUAGCCAAAGACAAAAUUAGACUUAGUGUCAAAAACUCUGUGGCUGAUCUGAGUUAUUAUACCUAUAAUGGGGGACAACCAAGAUAUCCAUAUAUAAAAAUUUCAUUCACUGAUUAUGCCAAAGGUACCGAUUGGAGCUCUGGAAGGAUCUGGAGACUGUAUGACCCAGGGGCCACAUAUGAUUACUCCACUACCUUUUCUAUAAAACUUGACUCUAAACCUAUCUCCUCCCCAUCCCGUAUGGGGCCUAAUAAGGUGCUGGUGCCCCAGCCAGCUCAACCUCGUCACUACUGACCCCAAUGUCACCCCGGUCAAAGUGGGGGCUACCCUUUCUCCUCCUCCUCAACAAUUUACUGAGGAGCCCUUGCUAGAUAUUCUAGAACAUACCUUCAACACACUCAAUAGCUCUAGAUCAGAGGUAACCAACUCCCGUUUGCUGUGCUAUAAUGCUCAACCCUCUUUUUAUGAAGGUAUUGCAGUCACAUAUCAGAAGACUACUCCUCCUGCAGAAGGCAACAGGAACCUCAUAAGCUGUCCCUUCAGACUAUCCAAGGGGAGGGAACCUACAUUAGCACCAUAACCCACACUCACACACACUUAUGCAACACCACCUUCAAUACCACAUCUGUGAGAAACAGCCAUGUUGUUCCUCCCAUUAAUACUUGGUGGGCCUGCUCAAAUGGGCUCACUCCUUGUGCUAGCACUCAUGUGUUAGGCCAAGAGUUCUGUGUCAUGGUUCAAUCAGUGCCUCAACUGACAUUACUCUGAAGAACAGUUUACUAAUUUUUGGGACCCUGUUUCAGAUCAAGCUCUGCUUAGAUCCAGGAGAAAACCCAUUACCAUAGUUACUGUAGCUGUCCUUUUGGGUUUUGGAUUGACUGGGGCAGGGAUGGGGAUUUCCCUGCUUGUUUUGACCAGCUCUGUUCUUCUAUAGAUUUGGAUAUAGAAAGAAUGGAAUCUGCUAUACUGCAUUUACAAAAGUCAUCAUUCUCUUUAGCUGAAGUAGUGCUAUAGAAUAGAAGAGGCUUAGAUCUUUUACUCCUCCAAGAGGGGAGAUUGUGUGCUGCCCUUAAAGAUGAGUGCUGCUUUUAUACCGACCAUUCAGGCAUUGUUCAGGAUUCUAUGAAAAAGGUCAUGGAGCGUCUAGAAAACUGCAAACACCAGAGUGACCAGGAACAGGGCUAGUUCAAGGCUUGGUUCAGUACCAAGUUGCCAUGGCUCACCACUUUACUCCCAUUCUUCUGGGGACGCCUAUUAGGGCUACUUAUUCUCUUGUCUCUUAAGCUCAUACUAUUCAACAAACUGAUGGCUUUUGUAUGAUGGCAGAUAGAUGCUAUUCAAAUGAAACCCAUACAGGUCCAUUAUCACAGGCUAGAAGUAGGGGUCUCUAAAACCUCUGUCAUUGAGACUGAUGAGGAAUAGCCCCUAACUUACGUGCUAAACCGGAUAGUCAAUGACGGGUAAGAGAGCAACUCAAGACCCUAAUUGGGAGGCCUCACCAACCUAAGACAGGAGGUCAACCAAAAAAAAAAAAAAUUGCUGUUGAGUAUCCAGAGACGGGUAAGGGAGGCUAGGGUCUGUUCCAACCUAAGACAGGCACGGUUUCUGUAAGUUUUCCUAGCCUUCCCUUUUGAAAAAAUUAAAAAGGGUGACCUGUUGGGAGCCGACUCCUAGCAAAAAGUGGCUAUCAUCUCUACAGUCAUCUCAGGCCAUUUACUUACAGGUUGGUACUUUUCCACCCUGACGAGAGACUUGUUUUCCUAGCAUGAUAUUUUUGCAAGCAGCCCACCACAGCUGAGCACACUCUGAUAACAUCCUGUUCUUCUCAGACACAUCCUGGAAUUUGUGGUUAAGCGUCUCCAGCUGCACUCCUCAGCUUGUGCUUAUAUAUACCUAUAGCUGCCUUUCAACAAACAAGACUUUAUCAGACAGGG
This is a long non-coding RNA of Mastomys coucha (southern multimammate mouse), 2462 nucleotides long. RefSeq lists it as uncharacterized. The record is from RefSeq and is a predicted model, not a curated record. NCBI's taxonomy places the organism in Eukaryota, Metazoa, Chordata, Mammalia, Rodentia, Muridae. The transcript is spliced from 2 exons.